Molecule: ribosomal RNA, 497 nt
Filed under: uncultured bacterium
Lineage: Bacteria
Description: partial 16S ribosomal RNA
Rfam family: Bacterial small subunit ribosomal RNA
Source: RNAcentral
GAUGAACGCUGGCGGCGUGCCUAAUACAUGCAAGUCGAGCGAACAGACGAGGAGCUUGCUCCUCUGACGUUAGCGGCGGACGGGUGAGUAACACGUGGAUAACCUACCUAUAAGACUGGGAUAACUUCGGGAAACCGGAGCUAAUACCGGAUAAUAUAUUGAACCGCAUGGUUCAAUAGUGAAAGACGGUUUUGCUGUCACUUAUAGAUGGAUCCGCGCCGCAUUAGCUAGUUGGUAAGGUAACGGCUUACCAAGGCAACGAUGCGUAGCCGACCUGAGUGGGUGAUCGGCCACUUGGGAACUGAGACACGGUCCAUACUCCUACGGGAGGCAACAGUCGGGAAUCUUCCGCAAUGGGCGAGAGCUUGACGGAGCAACACCGCGUGAGUGAUGAAGGUCUUCGGAUCGUAAAACUCUGUUAUUAGGGAAGAACAAAUGUGUAAGUAACUGUGCACGUCUUGACGGUACCUAAUCAGAAAGCCACGGCUAACUACGUG